GCAUAUCAAUAAGCGGAGGAAAAGAAACCAACAGGGAUUGCCUUAGUACGGCGAGUGAAGCGGCAAAAGCUCAAAUUUGAAAUCUGGUACCUCUGGUGCCCGAGUUGUAAUUUGUAGAAGGUAAUCUUGGGAGUGGGCCUUGUCUAUGUUCCUUGGAACAGGACGUCGAAGAGGGUGAGAAUCCCGUAAGGCGAGGAGACCACAUUCUUUGUAAGAUGCUUUCGAAGAGUCGAGUUGUUUGGGAAUGCAGCUCUAAGUGGGUGGUAAAUUCCAUCUAAAGCUAAAUAUUGGCGAGAGACCGAUAGCGAACAAGUACAGUGAUGGAAAGAUGAAAAGCACUUUGAAAAGAGAGUGAAACAGUACGUGAAAUUGUUGAAAGGGAAGGGCUUUAGAUCAGACUUGGUAUUUAGCUAUCAUUGCUCCUUGUGGGCGGUGCUCUAGCUUUUUACUGGGCCAGCAUCGGUUUAGGCGGUAGGAUAAUGGUGAAGGAACGUAGCUCUGCUUCGGUGGAGUGUUAUAGCCUGUUACUGAUACUACCUGCUUAGACCGAGGACUGCGUCUUUUGACUAGGAUGUUGGCGUAAUGAUCUAAAGCCACCCGUCUUGAAACACGGACC
RNAcentral lists this ribosomal RNA (616 nucleotides) under Citeromyces matritensis. Its description in RNAcentral is "eukaryotic LSU rRNA". It matches the Rfam family "Eukaryotic large subunit ribosomal RNA", at positions 38 to 667 of the family's 3401-position model. Lineage: Eukaryota; Fungi; Ascomycota; Pichiomycetes; Pichiales; Pichiaceae. The record is from RNAcentral.